This 327-nucleotide long non-coding RNA is filed under the name Marmota monax (woodchuck). The record is from RNAcentral. Lineage: Eukaryota; Metazoa; Chordata; Mammalia; Rodentia; Sciuridae.
CAAUAUCGGGGGAAAGGUACAAUAAGCUGGAGAGAAGUAAUAGUGUGUUAUUUGGGGGGCAAUUUUCUAUUCAUGUUUCUUAUUUUGAUCAUUUCUUUUGUUUAUGCCCUGGUAGCCUAGCUGCUUGAGGCCAGCUACCCCCCUGGCCUUUUAGUGUCCUUGAAGGAGACCAGGCCUCAAGUGAGCACAGGGAGUGUCCACAUGGUUUCAGAAAUUUAACAGAGACCAAUCCUUGCUGCCCAUUUGUCAGGCCAGGUGAAAGGGCCAGACAUUUGCUGGUAGUGAUGUAAAUAUUUUGUACAUUAAAUAAAUGUCUAAAAGAAGAAC